This 354-nucleotide ribosomal RNA is filed under the name Feihyla vittatus (striped Asian treefrog). RNAcentral's name for it is "Rohanixalus vittatus (striped Asian treefrog) partial 12S ribosomal RNA". It matches the Rfam family "Bacterial small subunit ribosomal RNA", at positions 860 to 1381 of the family's 1533-position model. The record is from RNAcentral. Lineage: Eukaryota; Metazoa; Chordata; Amphibia; Anura; Rhacophoridae.
ACACCAAUAUCGCCAGGGUACUACGAGCCUAGCUUAAAACCCAAAGGACUUGACGGUAUUCCACCCAACUAGAGGAGCUUGUCCUAUAAUCGAUAAUCCACGUUAUACCCAACCAUUUUUUGCUUUUUUUCAGCCUGUAUACCUCCNUCAUAAGCUUACCGCAUGAGCGUGUAAUAGUAGGCUUAAUGGUUUACAACCCCCACCACGCCAGGUCAAGGUGCAGCUAAUAAAAUGGAAGAGAUGAGCUACAAUUUCUACCCUAGAACAAACGAAACGCUGAAUGAAAUACAGCUAAAAGGUGGAUUUAGAAGUAAGUAGGGAAUAGAGAGCCCUACUAAAAUUGGCCCCGGAAUG